AGUGAACGCUGGCGGUAGGCCUAACACAUGCAAGUCGAACGGCAGCACAGUAAGAGCUUGCUCUUACGGGUGGCGAGUGGCGGACGGGUGAGGAAUACAUCGGAAUCUACUUUUUCGUGGGGGAUAACGUAGGGAAACUUACGCUAAUACCGCAUACGACCUACGGGUGAAAGCAGGGGAUCUUCGGACCUUGCGCGAUUGAAUGAGCCGAUGUCGGAUUAGCUAGUUGGCGGGGUAAAGGCCCACCAAGGCGACGAUCCGUAGCUGGUCUGAGAGGAUGGUCAGCCACACUGGAACUGAGACACGGUCCAGACUCCUACGGGAGGCAGCAGUGGGGAAUAUUGGACAAUGGGCGCAAGCCCGAUCCAGCCAUACCGCGUGGGUGAAGAAGGCCUUCGGGUUGUAAAGCCCUUUUGUUGGGAAAGAAAAGCAGCAGGUUAAUACCCCGCUGUUCUGACGGUACCCAAAGAAUAAGCACCGGCUAACUUCGUG
Molecule: ribosomal RNA, 492 nt
Filed under: uncultured bacterium
Lineage: Bacteria
Description: partial 16S ribosomal RNA
Rfam family: Bacterial small subunit ribosomal RNA
Source: RNAcentral